GGGGAAUUAGCUCAGCUGGGAGAGCACCUGCCUUGCAAGCAGGGGGUCACGAGUUCGAAUCUCGUAUUCUCCA
RNAcentral lists this transfer RNA (73 nucleotides) under Anaerotignum propionicum. RNAcentral describes it as "tRNA-Ala". It matches the Rfam family "tRNA". Rfam says of the family: Transfer RNA (tRNA) molecules are approximately 80 nucleotides in length. Their secondary structure includes four short double-helical elements and three loops (D, anti-codon, and T loops). Further hydrogen bonds mediate the characteristic L-shaped molecular structure. tRNAs have two regions of fundamental functional importance: the anti-codon, which is responsible for specific mRNA codon recognition, and the 3' end, to which the tRNAs corresponding amino acid is attached (by aminoacyl-tRNA synthetases). tRNAs cope with the degeneracy of the genetic code in two manners: having more than one tRNA (with a specific anti-codon) for a particular amino acid; and 'wobble' base-pairing, i.e. permitting non-standard base-pairing at the 3rd anti-codon position. Lineage: Bacteria; Bacillati; Bacillota; Clostridia; Lachnospirales; Anaerotignaceae. RNAcentral also lists the same sequence under 7 other names. The record is from RNAcentral.